GGAGAGCUUCAUCCAGCCCCAAGCACCCCAGGGGACUGCUCGAAAAUUCUGGUGACCGUUGUUGACAGUGGAUACAGCAAAUUUGAAAUGCUCGAUCCAGACCAAUAUUUUGCUGGCUUGGAAAAUGACUGAUGGUGACUGGGGAGGUGUAUC
Haliotis rubra (blacklip abalone) is the source of this 153-nucleotide long non-coding RNA. RefSeq lists it as uncharacterized. The transcript has 3 exons. NCBI's taxonomy places the organism in Eukaryota, Metazoa, Mollusca, Gastropoda, Lepetellida, Haliotidae. The record is from RefSeq and is a predicted model, not a curated record.